Molecule: non-coding RNA, 100 nt
Organism: Picea glauca (white spruce)
Lineage: Eukaryota; Viridiplantae; Streptophyta; Pinopsida; Pinales; Pinaceae
Source: Rfam
GACUACUAUUAUACCCUUUAUACAUUUGGUAUAAAGAGAAGAUUAGAAUGGCUAAUGUGUAAGGAUAACACGCUUAAAUCGAUAAAUGGUUCAAAUUUUU